This 2758-nucleotide long non-coding RNA is filed under the name Callithrix jacchus (white-tufted-ear marmoset). RNAcentral describes it as "lncRNA (ENSCJAG00000081384.1)". Lineage: Eukaryota; Metazoa; Chordata; Mammalia; Primates; Cebidae. The record is from RNAcentral.
AUGGAAACUCCAGGCCUGGAGUCCUGCUGGGAAACAGUCUGCUUGGCUGUUACAAAUGGUAACUUUUGCUGUCUUUGUUGGUCCCUCCCCAUGGGGCACAGAGAUGCUCUUCAGUGUGUCCUGAGACCACCCUCCACAGUGAGGGGGAUUGCAGUGGUGUCAUUUCCUAGGAAAUGUAAUCCCAGCACUUUGGGAGGCGGAGGCGGAUGGACCGCGAGGUCAGGAGUUCAAGACCAUUCUGGCUAACGUGGUGAAACCCUGUCUCUACUAAAAAUACAAAAAAUUAGCUGAGCAUAGUGGUGGGCGCCUGUAGUCCCAGCUAGGGAGGCUGAGGCAGGAGAAUCGCUUGAACCCAGGAGGCGGAGGUUGCAGUGAACCAAGAUUGCGCCACUGCACUCUAUUUUGGGUGACAGAGCGAGACUCCAUCUCAAAAAGAAGAAUAAAAAAAGAGAAAGAAAAUACAGGUGUAAAUCUCUUGGGGCCAAAUUAAUAAUUUAGCACUUUCAAAAAAAUAGGUGUAUCUGUCCUAAUGUAGCCAGGCAGCCUCCAGCAUUCAAAUGCCACAAGCAGUCUUUUAUAGUAUUUCUUCCAUCCCAUUUUGAAGAAGUCAUCUGAGCAUGAAAAAUCUUUUGAGUCAAAAUGUGGGUAAUUGUGUUGACUUGUUCUAAACAUCUAAGGAGAAUCUCUCACUCGAGUAUAAAUUUGGGGUGUGUAGGUUUGAGUAAAGCAGUUUAUGUAAGAUGGGUGUGUUGGUUUGCUAACUAAGGCAUUAAGGAGAGGGUGGUUUGCAUCAGCGAAUCAAGUGUUGUUGAUAGGAGACAGGAAGAAAUCACCUAUUGUUCUGUUGUACAAUGCACCUGGGAUUUUACCUUGCUGGCACUUUCUAACUCUGGCUUCCUGACUCUAGAACUAUUUCAAAAACCAUUUUGACACCACAUUCCUACAAUCCCACUAUGUUUUCCAUUGGAAAUGCUAUUUCUGUAAUUUUUCAUGUCUGUUUAGUUAUUUUAGAAUCUUGGAACAGGAAGCACCUCAAGAUCAAAACAAAAUGAAAUUGAUUAAACACACACACACACACAUUUUACCAACUAUAACAUGUUCCUAAUUCAUGCAAUUACAGGCUCAGGGAGAAAAGAAGCGGGGGGGGGGGGCCAGGGAGGACCUGGGGAAGCAAUUGUCUGUGUGAGCUCCCAUUGUCCUGGCCUUUUCAUUGGUAAAACAGAGGAAAUACAGGUGCCUGAUCUUGACUCUUGUGGAAAGCUUUAAGUAGUGCCUCAAAGAUUUGGACAAUCUCUUAACUUGUAUAGAGUUACAAAGUUUGCUGUGUGCUGGGGACCAAGUUAUAGUACUUUGAGAAAUCUCUCCCAAAUCAACAGGAAGCAGAUCUUUAAAGAUCUCCCAGCUGGGGCUGGGAUACAAUGUUAUUGGAAGGAGUACCACUGUCAAGACCUCGGUGUUCAAGCCCUCCUCAUCAGUGAAUCCAAGUUCAAGUGAUUAUUACGUGCUUUGUGUUCACUGCUAAAUCAAGUGCUGUGAAUUCCGUUUCCUCUGGCAUCUUUUGGAAGCCUGGAACGGCUCUGGCUUUGGUGUUAAGUGCUUCCCUUGAUAUAGCCAAUGUGGACACUGCCAGCUCUGCACCCCAACUGGAUGUGAUGCAACAUAGGACUGUAUUGCCAAAUAUCCCACCUGAGCAUAGCUCAGUGAAUGUCUCAUUUCCAAUCCUGGAGUAUCUCCCUUCCAUGGUGAAAGGCUGGAGGGUGGCUCACUUCCCACAAGACUGAGGCAGUGCAUGAACAGGGAAUUUUGCACCUAGAAGCAAUGGGUUUAAGUUUUCUUCCCCAGAUUUGUGAUAUCAAAGGAAGACAGCCACAGAAUUUUGGGCAAGACCCUCUAGAUUAUGGGGAUUUAGUUUCCUUAGCAGUAAAAGGAAGGGGUUAACUUAGACCUCUUCUGUUUCUAGCACUCUAUUACUUUGAGUUUAUUAGAGCAAGUGAGAAUGUCUAUCUGUAAGAGCAGAUAAAUAAAGUGAACUUAGGACCAAGAGGUUGUCUUCCCUGUGUUUGUUGGGGAUGUUUACUUUGGGAUAAAGAUUCUGAAUAACAUUCCCUCUUUAACUCAUUGAGAACACAUUUGUCUGCAACAGAAGCUGGCUGUUGCAUCCUGCUUCUGGCUGAAUGCAGCCUGCUUCCUCUUUUUGUAAAUAAAGUUCUAUUGGAGCAUGGCCAUGCUCAUUCAUUUAGACAUAGACUAUGGCUGCAUUUGCACUAGGAGGGUACAGCUGAGUGGGUGGGGCAGAGACCACCUGAUCUACAAAGGCAAAAGUAUUUGCUAUCUUCUGGCCCUUUAUGAAAAAGUCUGUUGACCCCUGUUCUGGAACAUCAUUCAUCCCAUAAUACUCACCAAGGCUCUGCAAUGUGCCAGGCUCCCUACCAGCUGCUGGGGCAUAGAGAUGAGCCAGACCCACUGCCCGACUUGGAAAGUUUCCCAGCCUGGUGAGUGUUCAAUGAAGAAAUUAGAGAUUCCUUUAUUUAAAACAAUAAUACAGACAGCAAUAUUAUUCAUAAGAAGAAUUGCACAUUUUUUAAAUACACACCAGGAGUGACUAUCCUGCCCUGUUCUCUUUAUUGUAUGUGUAAGAGAUGUGGCUACAUGUUUGGUAAUGUGUCCUGUGUGUCUUAUUUUUUUUUUAUGCUGGAUUUCAGUUUUCCUUAGAACAAGGCAAUGUCUUUUUCUCAGUGAAAUGAAAAAGUAAAAAAGA